CUACGGAGGGUCCGAGCGUUAAUCGGAAUUACUGGGCGUAAAGCGCGCGUAGGUGGAUGUAUAAGUCAGAUGUGAAAGCCCUGGGCUCAACCUAGGAACUGCAUUUGAAACUGUACGUCUAGAGUAUGGUAGAGGUGAGUGGAAUUUCAGGUGUAGCGGUGAAAUGCGUAGAGAUCUGAAGGAACAUCAGUGGCGAAGGCGACUCACUGGGCCAUUACUGACACUGAGGUGCGAAAGCGUGGGUAGCAAACAGGAUUAGAAACCCUAGUAGUCC
This 274-nucleotide ribosomal RNA is filed under the name uncultured bacterium. Its description in RNAcentral is "partial 16S ribosomal RNA". It matches the Rfam family "Bacterial small subunit ribosomal RNA", at positions 523 to 796 of the family's 1533-position model. The record is from RNAcentral.